GAAUAUUGGUCAAUGGACGAAAGUCUGAACCAGCCAUGCCGCGUGGAGGAUGAAGGUCCUCUGGAUUGUAAACUUCUUUUAUCUGGGACGAAAAAAGGCUUUUCUAAGUCGUCUGACGGUACCAGAUGCAUAAGCACCGGCUAACUCCGUUCCAGCACCCGCGGUAAUACGGAGGGUGCAAGCGUUAUCCGGAUUCACUGGGUUUAAAGGGUGCGUAGGUGGGUUGGUAAGUCAGUGGUGAAAUCCCCAAGCUUAACUUGGGAACUGCCAUUGAUACUAUCAGUCUUGAAUACCGUGGAGAUCAGCGGAAUAUGUCAUGUAGCGGUGAAAUGCUUAGAUAUGACAUAGAACACCAAUUGCGAAGGCAGCUGGCUACACGAAUAUUGACACUGAGGCACGAAAGCGUGGGGAUCAAACAGG
Molecule: ribosomal RNA, 420 nt
Filed under: uncultured bacterium
Lineage: Bacteria
Description: bacterial SSU rRNA
Rfam family: Bacterial small subunit ribosomal RNA
Source: RNAcentral